UACGUAGGGUGCAAGCGUUAAUCGGAAUUACUGGGCGUAAAGCGUGCGCAGGCGGUUUUGUAAGUCUGUCGUGAAAGCCCCGGGCUCAACCUGGGAAUUGCGAUGGAGACUGCAAGGCUUGAAUCUGGCAGAGGGGGGUAGAAUUCCACGUGUAGCAGUGAAAUGCGUUGAGAUGUGGAGGAACACCGAUGGCGAAGGCAGCCCCCUGGGUCAAGAUUGACGCUCAUGCACGAAAGCGUGGGGAGCAAACAGG
This 253-nucleotide ribosomal RNA is filed under the name uncultured bacterium. Its description in RNAcentral is "partial 16S ribosomal RNA". It matches the Rfam family "Bacterial small subunit ribosomal RNA", at positions 524 to 776 of the family's 1533-position model. The record is from RNAcentral.